ACGGAAUAGAUACCCGGGUAGUCCCAGCCGUAAACGAUGCUCGCUAGGUGUCAGGCAUGGCGCGACCGUGUCUGGUGCCGCAGGGAAGCCGUGAAGCGAGCCACCUGGGAAGUACGGCCGCAAGGCUGAAACUUAAAGGAAUUGGCGGGGAGCACAACAACGGGUGGAGCCUGCGGUUUAAUUGGACUCAACGCCGGACAACUCACCGGGGGCGGACAGCAAUAUGUAGGCCAACGCUGAAGACUUUGUCCUGAAUCGCUGAGAGGAGGUGCAUGGCCGUCGCCAGUUCGUACUGUGAAGCAUCCUGUUAAGUCAGGCAACGAGCGAGACCCGUGCCCACUGUUACCAGCAUGUCCUCCGGGACGAUGGGUACUCUGUGGGGACCGCCUAUGUUAAACUAGGAGGAAGGUGCGGGCCGACGGUAGGUCAGUAUGCCCC
This 438-nucleotide ribosomal RNA is filed under the name uncultured bacterium. RNAcentral's name for it is "bacterial SSU rRNA". It matches the Rfam family "Archaeal small subunit ribosomal RNA", at positions 724 to 1157 of the family's 1478-position model. The record is from RNAcentral.